Molecule: long non-coding RNA, 364 nt
Organism: Symphalangus syndactylus (siamang)
Lineage: Eukaryota; Metazoa; Chordata; Mammalia; Primates; Hylobatidae
Source: RefSeq, a predicted model, not a curated record
AGUGAUUCAUCGGGUCAUUUGGACAAGGACUUCAUUUCCCAAUAUGACAAGUCUUUCAACAGUUGCCCACAGUGAUAGGAGCUUGGAGGAACAUCUGUCCCGCUGGUUUCAUCUUGUGUGUAAAUGAGCUACAAUAGCAACAAUUUCUGUCAUCUUUGUCACUGAUCUGGAAUGAAAGUUACCAGAGAGCCUCUUGAGAAAUGUGGUAGAGAUAAUUGUGAACCCUGCAAAAAUUUACUAAGUGCGUGCGCUUUUGGGCCUCACAUCUGGAUUAAAAUCUUGCCUUUGCCACAUACUGACCAUGUGAACUUGGGUGAGUUACUGAACCUUUCUGGGACUCAGUUUCUUCAUCUGUUAAAAUGAG